AAGACUGGGAUAACUCCGGGAAACCGGGGCUAAUACCGGAUGGUUGUUUGAACCGCAUGGUUCAGACAUAAAAGGUGGCUUCGGCUACCACUUACAGAUGGACCCGCGGCGCAUUAGCUAGUUGGUGAGGUAACGGCUCACCAAGGCGACGAUGCGUAGCCGACCUGAGAGGGUGAUCGGCCACACUGGGACUGAGACACGGCCCAGACUCCUACGGGAGGCAGCAGUAGGGAAUCUUCCGCAAUGGACGAAAGUCUGACGGAGCAACGCCGCGUGAGUGAUGAAGGUUUUCGGAUCGUA
Molecule: ribosomal RNA, 300 nt
Filed under: Bacillus sp. (in: firmicutes)
Lineage: Bacteria; Bacillati; Bacillota; Bacilli; Caryophanales; Bacillaceae
Description: bacterial SSU rRNA
Rfam family: Bacterial small subunit ribosomal RNA
Source: RNAcentral